CUUCACCGAGCCGAUCCACAGCGGAUGGCGACGGUCCUGGCCGUAGGUCGCCAGCAGCGCCUGCGCCUC
Molecule: antisense RNA, 69 nt
Filed under: Mycobacterium sp. Root135
Lineage: Bacteria; Bacillati; Actinomycetota; Actinomycetes; Mycobacteriales; Mycobacteriaceae
Description: ASpks TB sRNA
Rfam family: ASpks TB sRNA
Source: Rfam by way of RNAcentral